This 527-nucleotide ribosomal RNA is filed under the name Dactylonectria macrodidyma. RNAcentral describes it as "eukaryotic LSU rRNA". The stretch from base 171 to 324 matches the Rfam family "5.8S ribosomal RNA". RNAcentral also lists the same sequence under 2 other names. Lineage: Eukaryota; Fungi; Ascomycota; Sordariomycetes; Hypocreales; Nectriaceae. The record is from RNAcentral.
UCUCCGUUGGUGAACCAGCGGAGGGAUCAUUACCGAGUUUACAACUCCCAAACCCCUGUGAACAUACCUAUUUGUUGCCUCGGCGGUGCCUGUUCCGACAGCCCGCCAGAGGACCCCAAACCCUGAUUACAUUUAAGAAGUCUUCUGAGUAAACCGAUUAAAUAAAUCAAAACUUUCAACAACGGAUCUCUUGGUUCUGGCAUCGAUGAAGAACGCAGCGAAAUGCGAUAAGUAAUGUGAAUUGCAGAAUUCAGUGAAUCAUCGAAUCUUUGAACGCACAUUGCGCCCGCUAGUAUUCUGGCGGGCAUGCCUGUCCGAGCGUCAUUUCAACCCUCAAGCCCCCGGGCUUGGUGUUGGGGAUCGGCGAGCCUCCGCGCCCGCCGUCCCCUAAAUCUAGUGGCGGUCUCGCUGUAGCUUCCUCUGCGUAGUAGCACACCUCGCACUGGGAAACAGCGCGGCCACGCCGUUAAACCCCCAACUUCUGAACGUUUGACCUCGGAUCAGGUAGGAAUACCCGCUGAACUUAA